UACAUGUGGGGCAAGCGUUGUUCGGAAUUACUGGGCAUAAAGGGUGCGUAGGUGGCAUGUUAAGUCAGGGGUGAAAGCCGGCGGCCCAACCGUCGGACUGCCUCUGAUACUGGCGUGCUUGAGUGCGUGAGGGAUGACUGGAACGAGUGGUGUAGCGGUGAAAUGCGUAGAUAUCACUCGGAACACCAAAGGCGAAGGCAGGUCAUUGGCACGCAACUGACGCUGAGGCACGAAAGCGUGGGGAGCAAACAGG
This 253-nucleotide ribosomal RNA is filed under the name uncultured bacterium. Its description in RNAcentral is "partial 16S ribosomal RNA". It matches the Rfam family "Bacterial small subunit ribosomal RNA", at positions 524 to 776 of the family's 1533-position model. The record is from RNAcentral.